AACGAACGCUGGCGGCAUGCCUAACACAUGCAAGUCGAACGAGACCUUCGGGUCUAGUGGCGCACGGGUGCGUAACGCGUGGGAACCGGCCCUUAGGUUCGGAAUACCUCCCCGAAGGGGGUGCUAAUACCGGAAAAUGUCUUCGGACCAAAGAUUUAUCGCCUUUGGAUGGGCCCGCGUUGGAUUAGCUAGUUGGUAGGGUAAAAGCCUACCAAGGCGACGAUCCAUAGCUGGUCUGAGAGGAUGAUCAGCCACACUGGGACUGAGACACGGCCCAGACUCCUACGGGAGGCAGCAGUGGGGAAUAUUGGACAAUGGGCGAAAGCCUGAUCCAGCAAUGCCGCGUGAGUGAUGAAGGCCUUAGGGUUGUAAAGCUCUUUUACCCGGGAUGAUAAUGACAGUACCGGGAGAAUAAGCUCCGGCUAACUCCGUG
RNAcentral lists this ribosomal RNA (433 nucleotides) under uncultured bacterium. RNAcentral's name for it is "partial 16S ribosomal RNA". It matches the Rfam family "Bacterial small subunit ribosomal RNA", at positions 29 to 507 of the family's 1533-position model. The record is from RNAcentral.